UGGGGAAUCUUGCGCAAUGGGCGAAAGCCUGACGCAGCCAUGCCGCGUGUAUGAUGAAGGUCUUAGGAUUGUAAAAUACUUUCACCGGUGAAGAUAAUGACUGUAGCCGGAGAAGAAGCCCCGGCUAACUUCGUGCCAGCAGCCGCGGUAAUACGAAGGGGGCUAGCGUUGCUCGGAAUUACUGGGCGUAAAGGGAGCGUAGGCGGACAUUUAAGUCAGGGGUGAAAUCCCAGAGCUCAACUCUGGAACUGCCUUUGAUACUGGGUGUCUUGAGUGUGAUAGAGGUAUGUGGAACUCCGAGUGUAGAGGUGAAAUUCGUAGAUAUUCGGAAGAACACCAGUGGCGAAGGCGACAUACUGGAUCAUUACUGACGCUGAGGCUCGAAAGCGUGGGGAGCAAACA
This 402-nucleotide ribosomal RNA is filed under the name uncultured Brevundimonas sp. RNAcentral's name for it is "bacterial SSU rRNA". It matches the Rfam family "Bacterial small subunit ribosomal RNA", at positions 355 to 774 of the family's 1533-position model. Lineage: Bacteria; Pseudomonadati; Pseudomonadota; Alphaproteobacteria; Caulobacterales; Caulobacteraceae. The record is from RNAcentral.